This 227-nucleotide unclassified non-coding RNA is filed under the name Hevea brasiliensis (rubber tree). The record is from RNAcentral. Lineage: Eukaryota; Viridiplantae; Streptophyta; Magnoliopsida; Malpighiales; Euphorbiaceae.
AAGAUUCCUUUGUUUUGGGUGUUGAUGUUGCCCGAGUAUCAUUCGAAUUUCAGGUGGCACUGUAUUCCUUGCAGUCAUGUGUAUGAUUUCUUAAAAGUGGGAGGACUCGUUGCCUGGAUGAUUUACAUAUGAGGAAUGCAUUUUUUAUUAUGCUAGUCCAUCGCCCUUAUAUGGAGCAUUUAUCAUCUUGAUUAUCAUAAGGAAUAACUAUAUAGUUCCCCUAAGAU